CCACAGCCAUGUUAGGGACAGGAGGAGAAUCUCGCCCUAACAUGAGCAAAGUCGAAGGCCCAGUUCUCCUUAGACCGGAUAGGGAGAAAGGCCCUACAAUGCCCUCAUGCGCCCCCACAGCCAUGUUAGGGACAGGAGGAGAACCUCGUCCUAACAUGAGCAAAGUCGAAGGUCUGAUUAUUUUCAGACCGGAUGGGGGGAGAGGCUCUCACAACGGUCCAUAUGUGCCUCCACAGCCUUGUUAGGAAUAGGAGGAGAACCUCAUCCUGACGCCAACUAAGAUCCGGUCAUUCAAGACCAGAUAAGAAAAAGAAAAUCUUCUCGACGGCCCCUCCGCGCUUCCGCGACCCUGCUAAGAGCAGAGGGAAAACCCUCCCUCGAGAAAAAAAAAAGGGAGAAGUUAAAAAGGAAAGCAACGAACUACACCAGCGACAAAUAAAAAAUAAAUUACAUCAAAGAUACAGGGGACCUCGUCUCAGCGAGGAUGGGGAUUCUUAUCAAAAAUCUCCAGUCUCCAAGAGGGCUCUCAACACAGGCCAAGGAUAAGACGGCUUCCUCAAGGCGACGAGAAGUUCAGACCUCCGAGCUCGAACUCCGAAAGGAAGCGUCAAACUCGAGUGGCCCCGGACAAAUUUGCGGCCAUAAACAAAAGGGACAGGUCAAUACGACGAUGAUUGGGUACCUUCGAAUGAGAUCGAUAUCGAGCAAGGCAAAAAUCGAAAGAAGUUCGGCAAACGACAACUCAACACAUGAGUAGAAGAGGUAAUGAAAUUUUUUUUUAUUUCAUUAACUAAGUAUGCAUUACAAAGCCCUUAAGGCCGAAAAAGAAAGAUGACAAGAAAAGCAAGCCAACAUGGCGACGAUAAGGAACCUUCAGACAACAUCGACCUCGAACGAGAUAAAGAAAAAAAAUAAAUAAAAGAAGUUCGGCGGACGAUAAUUUGACGCAAAGUGCGGACAAGGUAACAAAAAAUCUCCUUUUCAUUUUUGAUUAACAAGGUAUACGUUACAAAGCCCUGAAGGAC
RNAcentral lists this long non-coding RNA (1025 nucleotides) under Elaeis guineensis (African oil palm). Its description in RNAcentral is "long non-coding RNA (EGUI_LNC076207)". Lineage: Eukaryota; Viridiplantae; Streptophyta; Magnoliopsida; Arecales; Arecaceae. The record is from RNAcentral.